CACGCAGGCUCGGGCUCUCCCUUCCCCGGUCUCCGAUUAUGUCACAAUGCGAUGCCACACGGAGUCUCCCUCGUGUUGUCCUCCUCUUCCCUUCUCACCUCCUCCACGCACACGCACACGCACACACGAGACACUCCCUCUUCGAUUCCAUUCAAAAAUUAGGCUGCAGACAGCAGGGCGUUCUCCCCCACUCCAGCUCUCCGGAAGAGUGCGCUCCUGUCUUCGAGAAAGAGAAACAGAGAAAGAGGAACCAAGAACGAGUCACAUGGAGCCCUCUGAUGUGCUGAGGGGAAGCCGGACGACAGGAGGCAUCCGAACUGCACAAGUGGGAGAUCUGCCCAGUUAACAUCCAUGGCAAGAGUGGAAAUAAACGUGCACAACACUGAGAGGAGAAGAGCUCCACAUCCACGAGGAACUGCGUGUGCGGCCCGGAAAUGCUCACAUUGUGGACCAAAACAAAGUACUUAGAAUUUAAGUUCAAAAUCGGAAG
This 490-nucleotide long non-coding RNA is filed under the name Fukomys damarensis (Damara mole-rat). RNAcentral describes it as "lncRNA (ENSFDAG00000024853.1)". Lineage: Eukaryota; Metazoa; Chordata; Mammalia; Rodentia; Bathyergidae. The record is from RNAcentral.